This 253-nucleotide ribosomal RNA is filed under the name uncultured bacterium. Its description in RNAcentral is "partial 16S ribosomal RNA". It matches the Rfam family "Bacterial small subunit ribosomal RNA", at positions 524 to 776 of the family's 1533-position model. The record is from RNAcentral.
UACGUAGGGUGCAAGCGUUGUCCGGAAUUAUUGGGCGUAAAGAGCUUGUAGGCGGUUUUUCGCGUCUGCUGUGAAAUUUCGGGGCUCAACCCCGAACUUGCAGUGGGUACGGGCAGACUAGAGUGUGGGAGGGGAGACUGGAAUUCCUGGUGUAGCGGUGAAAUGCGCAGAUAUCAGGAGGAACACCGAUGGCGAAGGCAGGUCUCUGGGCCGCUACUGACGCUGAGAAGCGAAAGCAUGGGGAGCGAACAGG